GAUGAACGCUGGCGGCGUGCCUAAUACAUGCAAGUCGAGCGAACGGACGAGAAGCUUGCUUCUCUGAUGUUAGCGGCGGACGGGUGAGUAACACGUGGAUAACCUACCUAUAAGACUGGGAGAACUUCGGGAAACCGGAGCUAAUACCGGAUAAGAUUUUGAACCGAAUGGUUCAAAAGUAAAAGACGGUCUUGCUGUCACUGAUAGAUGGAUCCGCGCUGCAUUAGCUAGUUGGUAAGGUAACGGCUUACAAAGGCAACGAUGCAUAGCCGACCUGAGAGGGUGAUCGGCCACACUGGAACUGAGACACGGUCCAGACUCCUACGGGAGGCAGCAGUAGGGAAUCUUCCGCAAUGGGCGAAAGCCUGACGGAGCAACGCCGCGUGAGUGAUGAAGGUCUUAGGAUCGUAAAACUCUGUUAUUAGGGAAGAACAUAUGUGUAAGUAACUGUGCACAUCUUGACGGUACCUAAUCAGAAAGCCACGGCUAACUACGUG
This 497-nucleotide ribosomal RNA is filed under the name uncultured bacterium. Its description in RNAcentral is "partial 16S ribosomal RNA". It matches the Rfam family "Bacterial small subunit ribosomal RNA", at positions 28 to 507 of the family's 1533-position model. The record is from RNAcentral.